RNAcentral lists this ribosomal RNA (253 nucleotides) under uncultured bacterium. Its description in RNAcentral is "partial 16S ribosomal RNA". It matches the Rfam family "Bacterial small subunit ribosomal RNA", at positions 524 to 776 of the family's 1533-position model. The record is from RNAcentral.
UACGUAGGGGGCAAGCGUUGUCCGGAUUUAUUGGGCGUAAAGAGCGUGUAGGCGGCCAGGUAGGUCAGCUGUGAAAACUCGAGGCUCAACCUCGAGACGUCGGUUGAAACCACCUGGCUAGAGUCCGGAAGAGGAGAGUGGAAUUCCUGGUGUAGCGGUGAAAUGCGCAGAUAUCAGGAGGAACACCCGUGGCGAAGGCGGCUCUCUGGGACGGUACUGACGCUGAGACGCGAAAGCGUGGGGAGCGAACAGG